RNAcentral lists this ribosomal RNA (450 nucleotides) under uncultured bacterium. RNAcentral describes it as "bacterial SSU rRNA". It matches the Rfam family "Bacterial small subunit ribosomal RNA", at positions 29 to 524 of the family's 1533-position model. The record is from RNAcentral.
AACGAACGCUGGCGGCAUGCCUAACACAUGCAAGUCGAACGAAGCCUUCGGGCUUAGUGGCGCACGGGUGCGUAACACGUGGGAAUCUGCCCUUCGGUUCGGAAUAACAGUUAGAAAUGACUGCUAAUACCGGAUGAUGACGAAAGUCCAAAGAUUUAUCGCCGAAGGAUGAGCCCGCGUAGGAUUAGGUAGUUGGUAGGGUAAUGGCCUACCAAGCCGACGAUCCUUAGCUGGUCUGAGAGGAUGAUCAGCCACACUGGGACUGAGACACGGCCCAGACUCCUACGGGAGGCAGCAGUGGGGAAUAUUGGACAAUGGGCGAAAGCCUGAUCCAGCAAUGCCGCGUGAGUGAUGAAGGCCUUAGGGUUGUAAAGCUCUUUUACCAGGGAUGAUAAUGACAGUACCUGGAGAACAAGCUCCGGCUAACUCCGUGCCAGCAGCCGCGGUAAU